Molecule: ribosomal RNA, 254 nt
Filed under: uncultured bacterium
Lineage: Bacteria
Description: partial 16S ribosomal RNA
Rfam family: Bacterial small subunit ribosomal RNA
Source: RNAcentral
UACGUAGGGUGCGAGCGUUAAUCGGAAUUACUGGGCGUAAAGCGUGCGCAGGCGGUGAUGUAAGACCGAUGUGAAAUCCCCGGGCUUAACCUGGGAACUGCAUUGGUGACUGCAUCGCUCGAGUAUGGCAGAGGGGGGUAGAAUUCCACGUGUAGCAGUGAAAUGCGUAGAGAUGUGGAGGAAUACCGAUGGCGAAGGCAGCCCCCUGGGUCAAUACUGACGGCUCAUGCACGAAAGCGUGGGGAGCAAACAGG